This 103-nucleotide signal recognition particle RNA is filed under the name Pseudoroseomonas cervicalis ATCC 49957. RNAcentral describes it as "Roseomonas cervicalis ATCC 49957 Bacterial signal recognition particle RNA". The stretch from base 6 to 97 matches the Rfam family "Bacterial small signal recognition particle RNA". From Rfam's summary of the family: The signal recognition particle (SRP) is a universally conserved ribonucleoprotein involved in the co-translational targeting of proteins to membranes. Archaeal SRP consists of a 7S RNA and homologues of the eukaryotic SRP19 and SRP54 proteins. In most bacteria, the SRP consists of a 4.5S RNA and the Ffh protein (a homologue of the eukaryotic SRP54 protein). Lineage: Bacteria; Pseudomonadati; Pseudomonadota; Alphaproteobacteria; Acetobacterales; Roseomonadaceae. The record is from RNAcentral.
CGGAAGGCCGGUGGCGGACAGGCGCCUUGCCAACCCGGUCAGGUCCGGAAGGAAGCAGCCGCAGCGAGUUUCCGCCUGGGUCGAUCCGCUGGUCUUCCACCUA